GACGAACGCUGGCGGCGUGCCUAACACAUGCAAGUCGAACGGAGAGAUACGAGAGCUUGCUCUUGUAAAUCUUAGUGGCAAACGGGUGAGUAACGCGUAAACAACCUGCCCAACGGAUGGGGACAACAGACGGAAACGACUGCUAAUACCCAAUAGACUCCGGUUUCGCAUGAAACCGACAGGAAAGGUGGCCUCUCGAAGAAGCUACCGCCGCAGGAGGGGUUUGCGUUUGAUUAGUUAGUUGGUGGGGUAACGGCCUACCAAGACGAUGAUCAAUAGCCGGUCUGAGAGGAUAAACGGCCACACUGGAACUGAGACACGGUCCAGACCCCUACGGGAAGCAGCAGGGGGGAAUCUUCCGAAAUUGACGAAAGUCUGACGGAGCAACGCCGCGUUAGUGAAGAAGGCCUUCGGGUUGUAAAACUCUGUUAUUCGGGAAGAACGAUUAGUUUGUAAAUAAGGAACGGAAGUGACGGUACCGAAAGAGAAAGCCACGGCUAACUACGUG
This 508-nucleotide ribosomal RNA is filed under the name uncultured bacterium. RNAcentral describes it as "partial 16S ribosomal RNA". It matches the Rfam family "Bacterial small subunit ribosomal RNA", at positions 28 to 507 of the family's 1533-position model. The record is from RNAcentral.